RNAcentral lists this ribosomal RNA (329 nucleotides) under uncultured eukaryote. RNAcentral describes it as "partial 18S ribosomal RNA". It matches the Rfam family "Eukaryotic small subunit ribosomal RNA", at positions 1470 to 1796 of the family's 1831-position model. The record is from RNAcentral.
CCCUUAGAUGUUCUGGGCCGCACGCGCGCUACACUGACGAUGGCAACGAGUUUUUCCUUCGCCGAAAGGUGUGGGUAAUCUUUUGAAACAUCGUCGUGCUGGGGAUAGAUCAUUGCAAUUUUUGAUCUUGAACGAGGAAUUCCUAGUAAGCGCGAUUCAUCAGCUCGCGUUGAUUACGUCCCUGCCCUUUGUACACACCGCCCGUCGCUACUACCGAUUGAAUGGUUUAGUGAGGACUCCUGAUUGGCGCCGCCGCCCCGGCAACGGAGCAGCGGACUGCCGAAAAGUUGUUCAAACUUGAUCAUUUAGAGGAAGUAAAAGUCGUAACA